Molecule: non-coding RNA, 4353 nt
Organism: Manis javanica (Malayan pangolin)
Lineage: Eukaryota; Metazoa; Chordata; Mammalia; Pholidota; Manidae
Source: RefSeq, a predicted model, not a curated record
AAUAGUAUACUUAGAUUCUACUUAAGGUAUUGUCCCAUUUGCCUUAUUACCUCUCUUUCUAAAUACAGAGAUUUUUUUUCUGAGCCGCGUAAGAGCAAGUUAUGUUUAUCAUGCUCCUUUAUCCCUAAACACUUGUAUUGCUUCAGAACAUGGACAUUCUCUUAUAGAAUCAGUAGUCAUCAACCUCAGCAAGUUUACCAUUUGUAAGUUUAUUUUCUAUGGUCCAACUUUUGUCAACUGUCUUAGCACUGUCCUUGGCAGCUUUUCCCUCUACUACCAAAUCCAGACCAGAAUCCCCUAUUGCACUUAGUUGCCAUGUCUCCUUACAUAGUAUCUGACAUGCUGUUUACAAAAUGAACAUUGCUCAAAAUAGAUUAUAAAAAUUAUACAUAUACUACAAAAAUGCAGUUGAUGUAAAUUCUAUUCCAGCAUUUUGUCCUUUCCUUUUCACAAAAGUUGUUAGUAAUGAUGUUUUUACAGUUUCAAAGAAUUUAUCAAAGCACUCUUUAAAUCUCAAAGGAAAUAUUCAAGAACAAGGAAAACUUAACCGCAAUUAAAAAUGAAGGCAAUGGAUAUCAGUUCCAACCAAACGGUUGGGCCGUAUUUUAUGUGUAUUGGGCACUACUUUGGAACUUAACAAGGCAGGUAAAGGAGGACACGCUGUACUUAACUCUUGGGGGUUAGGGGUAUUGCAGGGGAGGAUAAAGAGGAAUUUUUGCUUUUUUACUCCAUGAAUUUCUGUACUGUUUUAAUUUCUGACAGUGAGCAAGCACAGUUCUUACUUAAUAAUGAAGAUAAAUUAAAAAGACAAAGAAAACUGGAUGACGGGCUGGAUGUUUAAUGUGCGGGGUUAAACUGAAUAUGGAAGUUCAUCUGUUCUGCUUUGUUUCCUUCGUCUCAAGAUAAGAUAGUGGUAUCUCCCCCUAACUAAAUCAAGAAGACGUCGGAAAGGUUAAGCAGUGCCUAUUUUAGGGAGAAAGAGCCAGCAGAAUGUUCCCCAGAGAUCAGAAAAAGCUCUCCUGUGAACUGCUGGCAGUGCCAAGGUUAACGGUCUGCCUCGAGAACCAGAAAUUCACGCAGAACCUUCCUGAAUUUUAAGAGCAUUCUUUCAGCAGCGGGCAACAGAGGAGCCAAUGAAAGCGAGGGGCGGUCUAGGAGUAGAGGGAGAGAGGACGCAGGGCUUUGGGGCGCGUGUGGACCAAGGAGGGCGACCCGGGCUGACAGCCGCACAGCAGGGACGCCCGGGCCCCGCGCACACCGCGGCUGCGGAGCGGCGGUCGGGGGAGAGUGUCCCGAGCCGCAGGACUGGUGGCUGCCGUGCAGACCGGCGAGCUGGCUAACCGACGAGCGCAGGAGCGGGAGAGCGCGGCUCUGGAGGCAAGAAGAUUAAUCAUGAUGCUUGUCCCAUAUGACCUUCAGCAUUUUUGAAGAGGAGAAGACAAUUACUUUGCAGAAUGUCCAUCAGUUUGGGUUGAAACCAGAAAACUCCCAUUUCCAGAUUCCUUGCAGCAUGUGACCUGGGCUUCACUAAUCAGCUCUAUCCACGUGUGACUGCAGGCGUCAGAUGGAUUAUCUGCAAAGGCACUGAUAAUGGCUAUGAGGAAUAAAUACUGCAGAUGGAGCAAAUCAAAGAGUCAAAUUACAAAGCCAAACCGAAGAAGAGUCAUGAAAAGGAGGGAGAAUCAGAAAGGAAGGAAAAGGACAAUUACCGAAGGAAAAUGAGCAGUUGAUUAUGAAAAAGAAUAUCUUCUGCUGUUUGAAUAAAGACCAAAGAGCUUUCAUUGGUGGCUCCACACAUGGCUGUGACUGAGCACAAGUCCCAAACUCAAGAAAGUAAAAGGAACUUAGACUUUAACUAUUAGUAGUAAUGAGAAUGUACUAAAUAUCAACAACUAAUUUACCAGGCAAUGUCAUUUCCCAAGCAUGUUCACAUAUAUCAUAGGUAAAAUGUUUUCAUGAACACUGUUUCCAACAUGUUUGCAGAAGCUAUUUUCAUGGCCUAGGUAACAAAUGGUUCACUGAAAUUGCUGGUGUGCUGAUCUGGUUUUGAAGAAUUCUAUGAUAAGGAAAAAUUCUGUGGAACAGAUGGAAUGAGAAGGCCCUAGACACAGAACAGGCAUAUCUGGUAAUGACAGUGUUCUUUUGAUAUAGUAUUAUGUUUUAUGUUUUACAAGUAUUAGUAUGCAAGGAACUCAGGCAGGAGCAGGAAAGAGAAAGUGAGUAGGAAUAAUACUUCAUAUUUGAAGAGGCUUUAUACGUGCCCAAGUACUCAGACCUCACCUAGCAGCAAGUAUUAUCCAAAUUCUACUGAUGAAAAACAUGCUUCUAAGAAAGAUGUGUUACAAAUGACAGAAAAUCAAUCUCAAAGUGGCUUAAGCAAUGAAAGGUAUGUGUCUUUCUGUGUGUGCUGUGUGCGUGUGUACAUGUGUGUGCAUGUUUUGGCUCACAGAAUUGAAAGGUCCAAAAUUGGAGCUAGCUUUCAGUGUGGCUUGAAAGAGAUGUUCAACUGAUCCCAUCAGUGCCAAAUUUCUCUUAAUACCACCUAGUAUUUUUCCUAAUAUAUAGUUUUCUUCUAAGACAAAAUUUUCCCAGGUGGUGCAAGAUGGUUGUUAAUAGCUCUCAGCUUACCUCCUCAACUCCCAAACAGUGGAGAAAAGGAGAACACCUCUUUCUCUGCUGUCCCAGCAGAAGUCUAGAAAUUGAGUCUCAUUGGCUCUUAUUGUGUCAUGUGUUCAUCCCUGAACUAAUCACUGUGUCCAGAAGGAUGUGGUCGUGUAAUUAAUCAGGCUGGACACAACUCCCACACUUGGGAGAGGGGGCAGGGAUGGUCCCCCACCGGUGAAGAGCUAUAUCAUCCACCCCCAGUUUUACUGAGAUGUAAUUGAUAUUGUGUAAAUAGAAAUUACCUAGGUUCCUAUCUCUAGUGCAGUCUGUCAAACAGCUCCAGGGAGAAAUCAUUUUCAUUAUUUUCUAUGUGAAUGGUGCCCCCUUAAGAGUUAUACAGCUUGGAGGGCAGGCUGAUCGAAUUAAUCUAAUAUUGACAUGAUUUUUUUUUUUUUGCAACUGGAUUCUAAAGUUUUUGAGAGUAAGGUUUAUAUUUUGAUAGUUGGUGUGUUCUUAUGUGCAGUGUUUAGUUGCUGAUCUUCCUUUAAUCAAAAUUCAGGAAAUACUUAAUCGAGUUAUUGAAAUAGCUUUCCUGGUGAGAUUAUUAAAUUUAGUUGUAUGCUGUUGUGGGAGCAGCUGCAUACUAAUUUCUUAUCCAUCAUGGUGAGGAAGUGGAGGGGAGGAUGAAAAAUCCAUUAUUAUAAAGAUUUCCAGGUGAUUCUCUUCAGACCACUUAAAAAAUAUUGCCUGAAAAUUUCAGCAUAUGAAUAUCAGGUAGCAGAUUGACUGACAUAAACUCUUCAGUGCACUACAAAGAGCCAAGAAAGUGAUGUUAAAGUUAGGGCCUAUUAGAAAUCUCUGUAGAAGAGAGUACACACAUUUAUUUAACCUCAAAAAGAACAAAAUCAGUAAAAACUAGAAAGGAAGAGAAAGACUGGUUAAGUCACGGGGUUUCAGUUACCUAUUGCAGCAAAACAAAUUGCUCCAAGACUGAGUAGCUUAAAACAUUGUGUGGGUCACCUGAGUAAGCGAUGUGGUUUUUCAGUCCAUGCGGUGUAAGAGCGGUCACUCAUGCAGCGGCCUUCAGCUGGGAGCUUGGCUGGGGCAAGAGCAUCUCAGGCGGCCUUUUAUCGCUGAAAGCCUCUCUCCUUGCACUGUCUCAGCCUCCCGUAGUGCAGCCCUAAUUUCUUUAGAGCACUAUGGCUACCUUCCAAGAAGAGGGAGCAGAGGCUGCCAGUUCCCUUAACUGGCUUGGAAGUCACAGGACAUCACUCCUGCUACAUCUAUUGGACAAGUAACAGGGCCUGCCUAGAUGCUAGGGAGAGGAGGAAAGGAAAUAGACUCCAUCUCUCUUUUUUUUUUUUCAGUGAACAAAUGAACAAUCAGUAUUUUUAUUAAUUAGUUAAUUUAUUAUUAUUAGUUUUUAAAAAUUUUUACUAAGGUAUUAUUGAUAUACACUCUUAUGAAAUGUAUAUCAAGAUUUAAUAGCUCUCAGCUUACCUCCUCAACUCCCAGUCAGUGGAGAAAAGGAGAACACCUCUUUCUUUGCUGUCCCGGCAGAAGUCUAGAGAUUGAGUCUCAUUGACUUUUAUUGUGUCACGUGUUCAUCCCUGAACCAAUCACUGUGUCCAGAAGGAUGCAGUCGUGUGAUUUUUCACAUGAAAAAACAAUGUGGUUACUACAUUUACCCAUAUUAUCAAGUCCCCACCAUACCCCAAUGCAGUCACUGUCCAUCAGUGUAGUAAGAUG